CCUACGGGAGGCAGCAGUGGGGAAUAUUGCGCAAUGGGCGAAAGCCUGACGCAGCGACGCCGCGUGAGGGAUGAAGGUCGGCGGAUCGUAAACCUCUGUCAGCAGGGAAGAACGGUCACGGUGCUAAUCAGCAGUGAAUUGACGGUACCUGCAAAGGAAGCACCGGCUAACUCCGUGCCAGCAGCCGCGGCAAGACGGAGGGUGCGAGCGUUAAUCGGCAUUACUGGGCGUAAAGCGCGCGUAGGCGGUAUGUCAAGUCAAGGGUGAAAUCCCCGCGCUCAACGUGGGAACUGCCUUUGAGACUUGCAAACUGGAGUGUGUGAGAGGCUAGUGGAAUUCCAGGUGUA
This 347-nucleotide ribosomal RNA is filed under the name uncultured bacterium. Its description in RNAcentral is "partial 16S ribosomal RNA". It matches the Rfam family "Bacterial small subunit ribosomal RNA", at positions 338 to 677 of the family's 1533-position model. The record is from RNAcentral.